RNAcentral lists this unclassified non-coding RNA (2282 nucleotides) under Hevea brasiliensis (rubber tree). The record is from RNAcentral. Lineage: Eukaryota; Viridiplantae; Streptophyta; Magnoliopsida; Malpighiales; Euphorbiaceae.
UUUUCAUUAAGUUCAUUCACCCUAAAAAAUUUAGAAUAUAUUCAAAUUACAAUUACGAUAUUCAUGAGAUCGACACACAGAAAGAAAGUAAAAGAAUAUGUCUUAUCAGCUCAGCCAUAGUGCAGCAAAAGAAAAAUGAAUAAGACAAACUCCACUACAAGCAUGCAUUUCAGGCCUAUGGAAAUGGAAAUGGGAAUGGACAACGGUCACGCUAGUCUGCUUCAGGAGCCAUUCUCCAUGGCAUGGCGGCUUGACUUGAAGUCUUGAACAAAGCAGAACUAUGGAAGACAAUAUAUAGGGUUGAAUUUCAACCAAGGUGGAAACCUCGAAUUUCUUUGUAUUCUCUGUAGCGUAAUAACCGCGAAAUUAGAGCAUAUGGUUCCACUUCAAGAAAAGUAUUCAAGUUGCUCACCUAUGAAGGAAGAGCGUUGGUUGGCAAACGCUGUGGGAACACUCUGCACGCAUCCCCCGCGUACUUUGUGGUUCCUAGUGACCAGAAUGGAAUGAGAACGAGCUAUAGCCCAUAGGGGUGGUCUUCACUCGUUCAUGAAAAUGACUUAAAAAUAUGAGAUCUCCAAUCCAAGCAUUCAAGACCAACAAAAUGAGACCCCAGUCUUUAGCUGUUUGAUCCCAUCAGAAGAUACAGGACAACCAAAAAAAGUGUACUGCAAAAGGCUGAAAAGCUGCGUUGCAUUCCUACUUAUACCACUCUGAAUGAAGAAGACAGCAAAAUGUUGCAUAUCUCACACCAAAUCUUAUUCCAUAUUAAUCAAAGAAUAUCAGAGUUUAAGAGAACCAAAGUCGAUUGAAUGCAUUCAAUCUAUGUAAAGAUUUUUAUUCCCCAAUUAAACCUAUCUAUGCUUGUUGUUUCCCUCAAGAGAACUGCACAAAGUUGAUGUUGAUAUUAACAUUGAAUGAUGACUCUCAUAUCAUCUUCGGCUCCUCUUAAGAUCAACGACAAUCACACUGAUGUUAUCAGAGCUUCUCCGUCCCAAAGCAAGGCGAGUGAGAAGUGCCGCAGCCAAUAUGCUUCGAGUUGGAUAUAAUGCCCCAUUCCCUUCAUCUAUCUGAGACCUGUCAUUCACAAGAGGAGGAGGACUUCCUUCCUGUAGGCAUUCACAAGCUACUUCACAAGCCAACUCACUUGACAAAACAUCCCACAAGCCAUCACUUGCAAGAAUUAAGCACUCAUCUUCUGGUUCUCUUUUUGUGAAUGUAAUCUCAGGCUCAGAUGUCACAACUGGCUUUAAAUAUUUAUCCCCUGACCAAGAAGGAUAAAAAAGAAAGGUGAGCAACAAGCAUAUAAACACCACUACACUAUUCUGGAGAUCUCAUAAGCUCCCUUUUUAGUACUAUGCUCAACAAGAUAGAAAAUAAUACCAUUAAAAUAAAGGAUUCAAACAAUAUAGAAGGCAAUACCAUGUAUUUAAACAUCAAACUGUUACAUGAUGCCAGCACAAACAUGCUAAAACAUUUUUUUUUCCUUUAAUCUAUAAGACAGUAAGAUACACCAGCAUAUGUCCACUCAAAAGAAAACUGAAAUGAACUUAUCCUAGAAAAAUUGAUGGGGAUUAAAUUUCAGUAGCAUUAUUUUGUAUCAAAAGCUAAAAAUAACAAGUAAUCAUUUCAAAUUUUGCCACAAAUACAUAGUUUUACCCUUUCAGGAUAACCCAACAGAAAUGCAGGCAUUAAGAAAAUUAAUACUGUAGUCAUAACCCCAGGCAGGUGAAUGUGUAAUGUGUGUGCGCGUGCGUGUCCCUGAUUGUAUUUUGAUCUAUAUCAAGAAUUUAAUCCCAAGGUCUAAAUGUAACUUCUGCAUAAAAUCCAUUCAUUCACUACCUGAUCACAACUUUGGGGAAGCUACAUUUUUAUGCUGGAGAUUCACUAUAGAAAUUCCACACCCAUUUGAAGGGCAGCACAGCAAAAGCUACCCAAUUUCAUCAUAUAGUAAUCAUGUAUCUUCCAAGAUUUAUAAACCAAGAAUCAACAUUUAAUCCUUCUAUGCUAAUGCACCAACAUUAGUAACCAUGGCAAGAUUUCUUACAGUAAACAUGAGGAAACAACAGCAGGACAAACAAAGUCAAACUACCAACUUCUUUGUAUCUGUAGUUCUUGUCAGAGUUCAGCAUUCAACUUGGCAGCUCCAGGAUUUGACCAGAUUGAGACAUAAACAGCCAAAAAUUCCUAAUCAAAACCAACACAACUCAUUUGUAUGUUGUGGGUAGUAAGGCAGUAUUCUGCUCCCAAUACGUAGACAACGAUCUGAUUCUCAACAGCGAAAA